RNAcentral lists this unclassified non-coding RNA (226 nucleotides) under plant metagenome. RNAcentral's name for it is "partial contains small subunit ribosomal RNA, internal transcribed spacer 1, and 5.8S ribosomal RNA". The record is from RNAcentral.
UUUCCGUAGGUGAACCUGCGGAAGGAUCAUUAAAGAAUUGCCCCGUCUUCUCGAAGAUGGGUUCUAUUCCAAACCGUGUUUACAUACCUUUGUUGCUUUGGCGGGCCGCCGUUUCGGCGUUGGCUCCGGCUGACUGCGCCCGCCAGAGAACCACAACUCUUUUGUUUAGUAAUGUUUGAGUACUAUAUAAUAGUUAAAAUUUUCAACAACGGAUCUCUUGGUUCUG